This 71-nucleotide transfer RNA is filed under the name Loxodonta africana (African savanna elephant). It matches the Rfam family "tRNA". Rfam says of the family: Transfer RNA (tRNA) molecules are approximately 80 nucleotides in length. Their secondary structure includes four short double-helical elements and three loops (D, anti-codon, and T loops). Further hydrogen bonds mediate the characteristic L-shaped molecular structure. tRNAs have two regions of fundamental functional importance: the anti-codon, which is responsible for specific mRNA codon recognition, and the 3' end, to which the tRNAs corresponding amino acid is attached (by aminoacyl-tRNA synthetases). tRNAs cope with the degeneracy of the genetic code in two manners: having more than one tRNA (with a specific anti-codon) for a particular amino acid; and 'wobble' base-pairing, i.e. permitting non-standard base-pairing at the 3rd anti-codon position. Lineage: Eukaryota; Metazoa; Chordata; Mammalia; Proboscidea; Elephantidae. The record is from Rfam by way of RNAcentral.
GCAGCGGUGGUUCAGUGGUAGAAUUCUUGCCUUCCAUGCGGGAGACCUGGGUUUGAUUCCUGGCCAAUGCA